CGGAACGCUAAAUCGCUUGGCGGUAGAUUAGUAACUAGCCAUGGACGAAGUCUCCUACCAGACCCAGACCAGAGAUAAUUUAGAAAUUAUGAAUUCCCAAGUGCACCUGCCGGG
This is a long non-coding RNA of Maniola jurtina (meadow brown), 114 nucleotides long. RefSeq lists it as uncharacterized. NCBI's taxonomy places the organism in Eukaryota, Metazoa, Arthropoda, Insecta, Lepidoptera, Nymphalidae. The transcript has 3 exons. The record is from RefSeq and is a predicted model, not a curated record.